UACGUAGGACCCAAGCGUUAUCCGGAGUGACUGGGCGUAAAGAGUUGCGUAGGUGGUUUGUUAAGUGAAUAGUGAAAUCUGGCGGCUCAACCGUACAGGCUAUUAUUCAAACUGGCAAACUCGAGAAUGGUAGAGGUAACUGGAAUUUCUUGUGUAGGAGUGAAAUCCGUAGAUAUAAGAAGGAACACCAAUGGCGUAGGCAGGUUACUGGACCAUUUCUGACACUGAGGCACGAAAGCGUGGGGAGCGAACAGG
Molecule: ribosomal RNA, 255 nt
Filed under: uncultured bacterium
Lineage: Bacteria
Description: partial 16S ribosomal RNA
Rfam family: Bacterial small subunit ribosomal RNA
Source: RNAcentral